CUUGGAGUCUAAUUGAGCAGCCAGCAAAAAAAAACAGUAGAAACUCAAAUUAGAGCCUGCUGAGAAACUGGAAUUCCUUCAACCAGCAGCAAAGCUUUCUGGAAGGAGAAAAAGGAUGGCACUGUCUGAGAAAACAACUUUGAGGUCAAGCUGGACAACAGCAGAGGCUUUCUAAAGCACUGGGAAAGGAAUCUAGUUGAACCAGCAGAAAGCUUCUCAGCUGGACAAUAUACAGGAGCAGAUCCAGGAGGCAAACCUCAACAUGUGGCCAAGGCAGGUGGAGACAGUCACACGGCCCUGGCAAUGCAAGGGACAAAGCAAUUGUCCCCUAACUCUGUGGACACUCCUCCUACAUUACUAAGGCUGUGCAGCCUCAGACUGCAGGUCUCCGCUACGUCCUUAGGUGCCCUCUUUGCUCUCCAGCUGCUGCUCCUGCCCUGCGUGGACCAGUCUCCUGAGGCCCUACACUGUGUCUGACAAUUCUAUGCAGUCUCAGAAACCUUGGGGUGUUUAAAGUGGUGGGUAGGCAAGUUGUGCCCUGCUUAUUUGCAGCUGUACUGCCAGCCCCUCUUCCACUUCCUGUGGGUCCUUCCUGUCUUCUCCCUUGGCUUCCAUCCAGGCCUUGGUGGCAUACCAAGUUGUUGCAAACGAUCUCCAAAAUUUCAAGCGUUUUGCUAGAGUUGUGGCUGCCGGCAGAGUCCACGUUAAAGCCACAGCUACUGCAGCAGUGAAGCAAGCGGAGAGGGCUGACGGUGCUGGAUCUGAGCAUUGCACAGCUCGCUGUGACACUGAGAGAGCAUCUCCUCCCUCUCCUCAAAAGGAAAGAGCUGGAAGGAAAAUGAUCAACUAGAAAAGUGUGUUCAUAGGAGGAAGAGUUUAGUUUGUUUGUGGAUUCAGCUGCCCAGCACAAGCAGUACUUGUUAGCACUGGCAGGUAAGGGCACGACACGGUGUCUCUUCUUUGCUUCCACUGGUUAUCCAGCCCCCCAGGUGGGUGAGGGCAGGGGUCUAUAUGGGAUAGGCCCAGUGGAGGAUCUCCCAUGAGGGAAGGCCUUUCAUGAGCUGAGAAAUCAUUACAACUUCCUUCAUCCCUAAUUUUAGGAUAAAUCCAUUAACUGUAUGCAGGUUUGGGUUUUUCCUGUGCCUUUCCUCCUCCCUUCUCUCCCUGCUAGUCUCUUUAAACAUUCAGGUGUGUAACGCUUUC
Molecule: long non-coding RNA, 1203 nt
Filed under: Aquila chrysaetos chrysaetos
Lineage: Eukaryota; Metazoa; Chordata; Aves; Accipitriformes; Accipitridae
Description: lncRNA (ENSACCG00020002121.1)
Source: RNAcentral